Podarcis lilfordi (Lilford's wall lizard) is the source of this 74-nucleotide non-coding RNA. NCBI's taxonomy places the organism in Eukaryota, Metazoa, Chordata, Lepidosauria, Squamata, Lacertidae. The record is from the annotation of a GenBank genome assembly.
GCUACUAGUUAAGAUAUCUAUAGAGCAUGAGACUCUUAAUCUCAGGGUCGUGGGUUUGAGCCCCACAUUGGGCA